Molecule: non-coding RNA, 108 nt
Organism: Zootoca vivipara (common lizard)
Lineage: Eukaryota; Metazoa; Chordata; Lepidosauria; Squamata; Lacertidae
Source: RefSeq, a predicted model, not a curated record
ACCCAGUCAGAUGGGUGGGGUAUAAAUAAUAAAAUUAGUAUAGUAGUAGUAGUAGUAGUGGUUUUACUUAAUAUGCACAGUACACUUUCUUUACUGAAAUGUGUAGUG